UUGAAGCUAUAGCACAGGCAGAAGCUAAAGAAACCUCAAAUAAUUCGCCUUUCUCUUUUUCAUUUAAAGAAAAGCCUGAUAAUAGCUUUUUUGGUCAGACGUCUUUUGGUGGCACUAAUUCUAAACCUGUUUUUGGAACAGGCGUGAAGUUUGGAUUUGGUUUUAAUGCUCAAACUGCACAGCCUGAAGAUAAUGAUGUUCAAAUAGUGUUUGAAGCUCUUUCAAGUCCA
Molecule: long non-coding RNA, 230 nt
Organism: Parasteatoda tepidariorum (common house spider)
Lineage: Eukaryota; Metazoa; Arthropoda; Arachnida; Araneae; Theridiidae
Source: RefSeq, a predicted model, not a curated record